Molecule: ribosomal RNA, 411 nt
Filed under: Hepatozoon sp.
Lineage: Eukaryota; Apicomplexa; Hepatozoidae
Description: SSU rRNA
Rfam family: Eukaryotic small subunit ribosomal RNA
Source: RNAcentral
UAGUCAUAUGCUUGUCUUAAAGAUUAAGCCAUGCACGUCUAAGUAUAAACAAAAAUACAGUAAAACUGCAAAUGGCUCAUUACAACAGUUAUAGUUUCUUUGAUAACAAACAUUUACAUGGAUAACCGUGGUAAUUCUAGAGCUAAUACAUGAGCACAUUCUUGACUGUUUUAGAAGAGAAGCAUUUAUUAGAUAAAAAACCAAUAUAUGUUUUUAAAGCAUAAAUGUUGGUGAUAUACAAUAACUAAGCAAAUCGCACAGUGCAAACUGGCGAUAAAUCAUUCAAGUUUCUGACCUAUCAGCUUUCGACGGUAAGGUAUUGGCUUACCGUGGCAGUGACGGUUAACGGGGAAUUAGGGUUCAAUUCCGGAGAGGGAGCCUGAGAAACGGCUACCACAUCUAAGGAAGGCA